GACGAACGCUGGCGGCGUGCUUAACACAUGCAAGUCGAACGGAAAGGCCCUGCUUUUGUGGGGUGCUCGAGUGGCGAACGGGUGAGUAACACGUGAGUAACCUGCCCUUGACUUUGGGAUAACUUCAGGAAACUGGGGCUAAUACCGGAUAGGAGCUCCUGCUGCAUGGUGGGGGUUGGAAAGUUUCGGCGGUUGGGGAUGGACUCGCGGCUUAUCAGCUUGUUGGUGGGGUAGUGGCUUACCAAGGCUUUGACGGGUAGCCGGCCUGGGAGGGUGACCGGCCACAUUGGGACUGAGAUAGGGCCCAGACUGCUACGGGAGGCAGCAGUGGGGAAUAUUGCACAAUGGGCGGAAGCCUGAUGCAGCAACGCCGCGUGCGGGAUGACGGCCUUCGGGUUGUAAACCGCUUUCGCCUGUGACGAAGCGUGAGUGACGGUAAUGGGUAAAGAAGCACCGGCUAACUACGUG
RNAcentral lists this ribosomal RNA (468 nucleotides) under uncultured bacterium. Its description in RNAcentral is "partial 16S ribosomal RNA". It matches the Rfam family "Bacterial small subunit ribosomal RNA", at positions 28 to 507 of the family's 1533-position model. The record is from RNAcentral.